This 468-nucleotide ribosomal RNA is filed under the name uncultured bacterium. RNAcentral describes it as "partial 16S ribosomal RNA". It matches the Rfam family "Bacterial small subunit ribosomal RNA", at positions 28 to 507 of the family's 1533-position model. The record is from RNAcentral.
GACGAACGCUGGCGGCGUGCUUAACACAUGCAAGUCGAACGGAAAGGCCCUGCUUUUGUGGGGUGCUCGAGUGGCGAACGGGUGAGUAACACGUGAGUAUCCUGCCCUUGACUUUGGGAUAACUUCAGGAAACUGGGGCUAAUACCGGAUAGGAGCUCCUGCUGCAUGGGGGGGGUUGGAAAGUUUCGGCGGUUGGGGAUGGACUCGCGGCUUAUCAGCUUGUUGGUGGGGUAGUGGCUUACCAAGGCUUUGACGGGUAGCCGGCCUGAGAGGGUGACCGGCCACAUUGGGACUGAGAUACGGCCCAGACUCCUACGGGAGGCAGCAGUGGGGAAUAUUGCACAAUGGGCGGAAGCCUGAUGCAGCAACGCCGCGUGCGGGAUGACGGCCUUCGGGUUGUAAACCGCUUUCGCCUGUGACGAAGCGUGAGUGACGGUAAUGGGUAAAGAAGCACCGGCUAACUACGUG